Molecule: transfer RNA, 72 nt
Filed under: Chroomonas placoidea
Lineage: Eukaryota; Cryptophyceae; Pyrenomonadales; Chroomonadaceae
Description: tRNA-Trp
Rfam family: tRNA
About the family: Transfer RNA (tRNA) molecules are approximately 80 nucleotides in length. Their secondary structure includes four short double-helical elements and three loops (D, anti-codon, and T loops).
Source: RNAcentral
AAGGGAAUAAUUUAAUUGGUAAAAUAAUGGUCUCCAAAACUAUAAUUCGAGGUUCAAACCCCCGUUUCCUUG